UGGUGCAGUGGUUAAACACUCAGCUGCUAACUGAAAGGUUGGUGGUUCGAAUCCACC
RNAcentral lists this transfer RNA (57 nucleotides) under Loxodonta africana (African savanna elephant). It matches the Rfam family "tRNA", at positions 1 to 63 of the family's 71-position model. From Rfam's summary of the family: Transfer RNA (tRNA) molecules are approximately 80 nucleotides in length. Lineage: Eukaryota; Metazoa; Chordata; Mammalia; Proboscidea; Elephantidae. The record is from Rfam by way of RNAcentral.